Molecule: long non-coding RNA, 438 nt
Organism: Lepisosteus oculatus (spotted gar)
Lineage: Eukaryota; Metazoa; Chordata; Actinopteri; Semionotiformes; Lepisosteidae
Source: RefSeq, a predicted model, not a curated record
GCUUUAAAAAUCCUCCCCCGACUGCGUCACGUCCUCUUGGAGUUGGUGCCAUCUUAGAAAGAAACAACUCCACAAGAUGCGAGCGAAGUGGAGGAAGAAGAGAAUGCGCAGGCUGAAGCGGAAGAGAAGAAAGAUGAGGCAGAGGUCCAAGUAAACUGGCUUCUCUCCACUGCAACUGUGAGCCCUUCCGUCCCCGCUGCCUGUUCCCUGCGGACGGCAGGCAGGCCUGGAGUUGGAGCUGCUGCAGCUGGAGGACGUGCCUGUUGUUACACCCCUCAUGUACCAGGCAAUGCUGUGGGGGAGAGACGACCUGACCAGGAGGAGGAGGAGAUGAACUGGCGCCUGAGCUCUCCUCUGGGAGGCACUGGACUCUUUGACACCAGCCCAGCACAGUUGCUUUGUAUAAAACCUUCAAUAAAUUCUUUUGGUAUUAAAAAC